RNAcentral lists this ribosomal RNA (870 nucleotides) under Bacillus sp. M_Sw_oHS_10/11_11_1(1). RNAcentral describes it as "bacterial SSU rRNA". It matches the Rfam family "Bacterial small subunit ribosomal RNA", at positions 23 to 887 of the family's 1533-position model. Lineage: Bacteria; Bacillati; Bacillota; Bacilli; Caryophanales; Bacillaceae. The record is from RNAcentral.
CUCAGGAGGAUCGCUGACGCCGUGCAUUAUACAUGCCAGUCGAGCGCACGUCUUAGGAGGUUAGCGGCGGACGGGUGAGUAACACGUGGGCAACCUGCCUGUAAGACUGGGAUAACUCCGGGAAACCGGAGCUAAUACCGGAUAGUAUCUUGAACCGCAUGGUUCAAGCUGGAAAGACGGUUUCGGCUGUCACUUACAGAUGGGCCCGCGGCGCAUUAGCUAGUUGGUGAGGUAAUGGCUCACCAAGGCAACGAUGCGUAGCCGACCUGAGAGGGUGAUCGGCCACACUGGGACUGAGACACGGCCCAGACUCCUACGGGAGGCAGCAGUAGGGAAUCUUCCGCAAUGGACGAAAGUCUGACGGAGCAACGCCGCGUGAGUGAUGAAGGUUUUCGGAUCGUAAAACUCUGUUGUUAGGGAAGAACAAGUGCGAGAGUAACUGCUCGCACCUUGACGGUACCUAACCAGAAAGCCACGGCUAACUACGUGCCAGCAGCCGCGGUAAUACGUAGGUGGCAAGCGUUGUCCGGAAUUAUUGGGCGUAAAGCGCGCGCAGGCGGUUUCUUAAGUCUGAUGUGAAAGCCCCCGGCUCAACCGGGGAGGGUCAUUGGAAACUGGGAAACUUGAGUGCAGAAGAGGAGAGUGGAAUUCCACGUGUAGCGGUGAAAUGCGUAGAGAUGUGGAGGAACACCAGUGGCGAAGGCGACUCUCUGGUCUGUAACUGACGCUGAGGCGCGAAAGCGUGGGGAGCGAACAGGAUUAGAUACCCUGGUAGUCCACGCCGUAAACGAUGAGUGCUAAGUGUUAGAGGGUUUCCGCCCUUUAGUGCUGCAGCUAACGCAUUAAGCACUCCGCCUGGAGACUCCGUCU